This 484-nucleotide ribosomal RNA is filed under the name uncultured bacterium. RNAcentral describes it as "partial 16S ribosomal RNA". It matches the Rfam family "Bacterial small subunit ribosomal RNA", at positions 30 to 507 of the family's 1533-position model. The record is from RNAcentral.
AUUGAACGCUGGCGGCAGGCCUAACACAUGCGAGUCGAGCGGAUGAAGGGAGCUUGCUCCUGGAUUCAGCGGCGGACGGGUGAGUAAUGCCUAGGAAUCUGCCUGGUAGUGGGGGAUAACGUCCGGAAACGGGCGCUAAUACCGCAUACGUCCUGAGGGAGAAAGUGGGGGAUCUUCGGACCUCACGCUAUCAGAUGAGCCUAGGUCGGAUUAGCUAGUUGGUGGGGUAAAGGCCUACCAAGGCGACGAUCCGUAACUGGUCUGAGAGGAUGAUCAGUCACACUGGAACUGAGACACGGUCCAGACUCCUACGGGAGGCAGCAGUGGGGAAUAUUGGACAAUGGGCGAAAGCCUGAUCCAGCCAUGCCGCGUGUGUGAAGAAGGUCUUCGGUUUGUAAAGCACUUUAAGUUGGGAGGAAGGGCAGUAAGUUAAUACCUUGCUGUUUUGACGUUACCAACAGAAUAAGCACCGGCUAACUUCGUG